Molecule: ribosomal RNA, 451 nt
Filed under: uncultured Sphingobacterium sp.
Lineage: Bacteria; Pseudomonadati; Bacteroidota; Sphingobacteriia; Sphingobacteriales; Sphingobacteriaceae
Description: bacterial SSU rRNA
Rfam family: Bacterial small subunit ribosomal RNA
Source: RNAcentral
GAGUUUGAUCUUGGCUCAGGAUGAACGCUAGCGGCAGGCCUAAUACAUGCAAGUCGAACGGGAUCAAGUAGCAAUACUUGGUUCAGUGGCGCACGGGUGCGUAACGCGUAUGCAACCUACCUUAAACUGGGGGAUAGCCUUCCGAAAGGGAGAUUAAUACCGCAUAAGAUCACAUGAUGGCAUCUGAGAGUGAUUAAAGAUUUAUUGGUUUAAGAUGGGCAUGCGUGCCAUUAGCUAGUUGGUAGUGUAACGGACUACCAAGGCGACGAUGGCUAGGGGUUCUGAGAGGAUGAUCCCCCACACUGGUACUGAGAUACGGACCAGACUCCUACGGGAGGCAGCAGUAGGGAAUAUUGGGCAAUGGACGAAAGCCUGACGCAGCCAUGCCGCGUGAGUGAAGAAGGUCUUAGGAUUGUAAAGCUCUUUCGCCCGUGACGAUGAUGACGGUAAC